RNAcentral lists this ribosomal RNA (420 nucleotides) under uncultured Nitrososphaerota archaeon. RNAcentral's name for it is "bacterial SSU rRNA". It matches the Rfam family "Archaeal small subunit ribosomal RNA", at positions 459 to 879 of the family's 1478-position model. Lineage: Archaea; Thermoproteati; Nitrososphaerota. The record is from RNAcentral.
CAGCCGCCGCGGUAAAACCAGCACCUCAAGUGGUCAGGAUGAUUAUUGGGCCUAAAGCAUCCGUAGCCGGCUCUGUAAGUUUUCGGUUAAAUCUGUAUGCUCAACAUACAGGCUGCCGGGAAUACUGCAGAGCUAGGGAGUGGGAGAGGUAGACGGUACUCGGUAGGAAGGGGUAAAAUCCUUUGAUCUAUUGAUGACCACCUGUGGCGAAGGCGGUCUACCAGAGCACGUCCGACGGUGAGGGAUGAAAGCUGGGGGAGCAAACCGGAUUAGAUACCCGGGUAGUCCCAGCUGUAAACUAUGCAAACUCAGUGAUGCAUUGGCUUGUGGCCAAUGCAGUGCUGCAGGGAAGCCGUUAAGUUUGCCGCCUGGGAAGUACGUACGCAAGUAUGAAACUUAAAGGAAUUGGCGGGGGAGCAC